Molecule: long non-coding RNA, 216 nt
Filed under: Elaeis guineensis (African oil palm)
Lineage: Eukaryota; Viridiplantae; Streptophyta; Magnoliopsida; Arecales; Arecaceae
Description: long non-coding RNA (EGUI_LNC040415)
Source: RNAcentral
CUAAUUGAUCAUAAAUCUAGGCUCAAUUUACAAUUGAUUAUACUAUGCUUAUGCCCAUGAAAUCUACAACCUUGGCUCUAUCUCUCAAAUAAUCAUAAAUCUUUGCUCUGAUACCAAACAUGUAACACCCCACUCCUAAAACUGGGUGAGCGUGCUACACCCUACCCUUAAGAAAGGGUGAAGGAAAUUACUAAUUAUAGCUGAGCUAAUAAUCUG